This 446-nucleotide long non-coding RNA is filed under the name Equus caballus (horse). Its description in RNAcentral is "lncRNA (ENSECAG00000052152.1)". Lineage: Eukaryota; Metazoa; Chordata; Mammalia; Perissodactyla; Equidae. The record is from RNAcentral.
CCUCCCCCCACCUGCCCCCGUGGCUUCCAUCCAGCUUUCAGGAUUCCCAAGGGAGAAGCCCUGCAGCUUCCUAAUGUGAAGGACCUUCGAUGUGUGCUUCCUGCUUCCCUCUCCAACCUCAUCUCCACCUGCAAAGCUGGAGUCGUGCUUCUCCCACAGACCUCCACUCAGGCUGUAAAGAUGCGGGCUUGGCAUUAUUCUUGCCUCCUGAAGAAAGCUCACACAAGAAUGAAGUCAACACCAGAGUGAAGCGUUGCCGGAACUCAGGGAAACUGGAGCCCUGCCUUUCAGAUGACUAAAACUAGAAGCUUCCUUGAAUUUACAAUUUUGUGGCUCAAUGAUUUUCCAAAAUUUAUACAACACAUCACAGACCUGGAGGUGAUGAGAAGCUGGGGGUGUCAGUGAAGGCUUUCUGGAGGAAGGGGUGGCCAGAUUGAAUGGCAAAG